UACGGGGGGGGCAAGCGUUGUUCGGAAUUACUGGGCGUAAAGGGCUCGUAGGCGGCCAACUAAGUCAGACGUGAAAUCCCUCGGCUUAACCGGGGAACUGCGUCUGAUACUGGAUGGCUUGAGUUUGGGAGAGGGAUGCGGAAUUCCAGGUGUAGCGGUGAAAUGCGUAGAUAUCGGGAGGAACACCAGUAGCGAAGGCGGCACUCUGGGCCGGAACUGACGCUGAGGAGCGAAAGCGUGGGUAGCAAACAGG
Molecule: ribosomal RNA, 253 nt
Filed under: uncultured bacterium
Lineage: Bacteria
Description: partial 16S ribosomal RNA
Rfam family: Bacterial small subunit ribosomal RNA
Source: RNAcentral